GAUGAACGCUGGCGGCGUGCCUAAUACAUGCAAGUCGAGCGAACGGACGAGAAGCUUGCUUCUCUGAUGUUAGCGGCGGACGGGUGAGUAACACGUGGAUAACCUACCUAUAAGACUGGGAUAACUUCGGGAAACCGUAGCUAAUACCGGAUAAUAUUUUGAACCACAUGGUUCAAAAGUGAAAGACGGUCUUGCUGUCACUUAUAGAUGGAUCCGCGCUGCAUUAGCUAGUUGGUAAGGUAACGGCUUACCAAGGCAACGAUGCAUAGCCGACCUGAGAGGGUGAUCGGCCACACUGGAACUGAGACACGGUCCAGACUCCUACGGGAGGCAACAGUAGGGAAUCUUCCGCAAUGGGCGAAAGCCUGACGGAGCAACGCCGCGUGAGUGAUGAAGGUCUUCGGAUCGUAAAACUCUGUUAUUAGGGAAGAACAUAUGUGUAAGUAACUGUGCACAUCUUGACGGUACCUAAUCAGAAAGCCACGGCUAACUACGUG
RNAcentral lists this ribosomal RNA (497 nucleotides) under uncultured bacterium. RNAcentral describes it as "partial 16S ribosomal RNA". It matches the Rfam family "Bacterial small subunit ribosomal RNA", at positions 28 to 507 of the family's 1533-position model. The record is from RNAcentral.